Molecule: ribosomal RNA, 230 nt
Filed under: uncultured bacterium
Lineage: Bacteria
Description: partial 16S ribosomal RNA
Rfam family: Bacterial small subunit ribosomal RNA
Source: RNAcentral
ACGUGCGCAGGCGGUUUUGUAAGUCUGUCGUGAAAGACCCCGGGCCGUCAACCUGGGAAUUGCGAUGGAGACUGCAAGGCUUGAAUCUGGCAGAGGGGGGUAGAAUUCCACGUGUAGCAGUGAAAUGCGUAGAGAUGUGGAGGAACACCGAUGGCGAAGGCAGCCCCCUGGGUCAAGAUUGACGCUCAUGCACGAAAGCGUGGGGAGCAAACAGGAUUAGAUACCCCUGU